This 253-nucleotide ribosomal RNA is filed under the name uncultured bacterium. Its description in RNAcentral is "partial 16S ribosomal RNA". It matches the Rfam family "Bacterial small subunit ribosomal RNA", at positions 524 to 776 of the family's 1533-position model. The record is from RNAcentral.
GACGUAGGGCGCGAGCGUUGUCCGGAUUUAUUGGGCGUAAAGAGCUCGUAGGCGGCUUGUCGCGUCGUCCGUGAAAACCUGCAGCUCAACUGCAGGCUUGCGGUCGAUACGGGCAGGCUAGGGUUCGGUAGGGGAGACUGGAAUUCCUGGUGUAGCGGUGAAAUGCGCAGAUAUCAGGAAGAACACCCGUGGCUAAGGCGGCUCUCUAGUACGGUACUGACGCUGAGACGCGAAAGCGUGGGGAGCGAACAGG